GCGGAUGUAGCAAGUGGAUCAGGCAGUGGA
This 30-nucleotide transfer RNA is filed under the name Moliniopsis japonica. Its description in RNAcentral is "partial tRNA-His". The record is from RNAcentral. Lineage: Eukaryota; Viridiplantae; Streptophyta; Magnoliopsida; Poales; Poaceae.